This is a long non-coding RNA of Xiphophorus couchianus (Monterrey platyfish), 1214 nucleotides long. RefSeq lists it as uncharacterized. The transcript is spliced from 2 exons. The record is from RefSeq and is a predicted model, not a curated record. Lineage: Eukaryota; Metazoa; Chordata; Actinopteri; Cyprinodontiformes; Poeciliidae.
ACUCACUUCUGAUACAGAAAAAGCUUUUCAGUCGCCGAGUUUCUCCCUGCAGCGUCGGUAAUGUUCACGUUCAUGUCGGCGUGUGUGAUUAUUUACUCUGUGCCUGUGUGACUGUGACAGAGCAUCUCCACUCAGAUCUCUGCCCAUUUGGUCAGAGGUGCAUGUGCAGCAGCAGUUGUUGCUGAAUGGCUCAGCUGUCCGUUGGAUCGCUUCACGUGCCGCAGCAGCAGCAGAUUAUUUAAAACCCGGAGAGAGCCGUGUUACCGUGCAGCACCAGCCAGCCUUUCUGGCUUCCACAGAGUAAAGAUGGCCGUCAUCACUAUGCUGCUCACAGCUCUUCAGCUAAAAUUAGAGCGGACAUGAAGGCAAGCAGAGAGACACCCAGGAGGCAGAAGCAGCAAACCUUCGUUCAUCUCUGAUAUUAAACUUCUGAAGAAGUUGGCGCCUUUCCCUGGCUUGCCAAAGGACGCAUUGUGAACCCUGGUUGAACUGAAACAGGCCUGGAUUCCCAGAAGCUGUAACGCUACACUGAGCUAAUCCUCAGUUAUCACAUCUUCUUCUUCAUCUUUGGCAGUAGCUUUGAAUUUCAGGCCCCAGCACCCAAAGAUGGUACUGCAGGAAGAACACCGGCCUGCAGACGCCACAUUGUGUCCGUUUAUCUUUUAAAAAGCCAAGCGGUGGCGCUGAUGCCUCGUCAUACCUCACUGCGGACCGCUGUGGCUCCGGGUCGCGGCAAGCCGUUAUCAACGAUCUGCUGAUUGUGCUGCUAUUUCUGCUGCUUCCCAGACCUGCAGGUUCAUCAUUAACAGUCCUGGGAGCAGCAAAGCGAUUGUUGCAUGUAUGCGUAUGUAUGCAUGAGACCAGACCAGGUGAUCCAGAAUCCAACCAACACCGACAUGAAUCCAUCUCAGCAGGUCACAGCCAGUAAUCAUUUUCUGCAGAGGCUGAUUAACAUGUAGCCAAGGUUUCACCAACUCAAACCUAAGACAUUUUAAGACCAUUACGAAUGGAUUUUAAGAUCUAUAUUUACAAAUUAAUGUAUGAACUUUCCAUCCAACUGGUGACAAAUCUGCAUUAUACAAUAGAUGCAAAAGAAGCUAGCUAUGGUACGCUAGCAGUUAGUCACAGAACGCAAUGAAGAUGUCUGAAUGUUGGCGAAAAGUUUAAGGAAAUAAAAUUCCAUUUUUCUUUCCAUUUCCUCUCUUUUUCCUCUU